Molecule: ribosomal RNA, 440 nt
Filed under: uncultured bacterium
Lineage: Bacteria
Description: partial 16S ribosomal RNA
Rfam family: Bacterial small subunit ribosomal RNA
Source: RNAcentral
CCUACGGGUGGCAGCAGUGGGGAAUAUUGCACAAUGGGGGAAACCCUGAUGCAGCGACGCCGCGUGAGUGAUGAAGUAUUUCGGUAUGUAAAGCUCUAUCAGCAGGGAAGAUAAUGACGGUACUUGACUAAGAAGCUCCGGCUAAAUACGUGCCAGCAGCCGCGGUAAUACGUAUGGAGCAAGCGUUAUCCGGAUUUACUGGGUGUAAAGGGAGCGCAGACGGCAGGGCAAGUCUGAUGUGAAAGUCCGGGGCCCAACCCCGGGACUGCACGGGAAACUGCCUGGCUGGAGUACAGGAGAGGUAAGUGGAAUUCCUAGUGUAGCGGUGAAAUGCGUAGAUAUUAGGAGGAACACCAGUGGCGAAGGCGGCUUACUGGACUGUAACUGACGUUGAGGCUCGAAAGCGUGGGGAGCAAACAGGAUUAGAUACCCCUGUAGUC